RNAcentral lists this RNase P RNA (302 nucleotides) under uncultured Cetobacterium sp. Its description in RNAcentral is "Bacterial RNase P class A". It matches the Rfam family "Bacterial RNase P class A", at positions 36 to 352 of the family's 367-position model. Rfam says of the family: Ribonuclease P (RNase P) is a ubiquitous endoribonuclease, found in archaea, bacteria and eukarya as well as chloroplasts and mitochondria. Its best characterised activity is the generation of mature 5'-ends of tRNAs by cleaving the 5'-leader elements of precursor-tRNAs. Cellular RNase Ps are ribonucleoproteins. Lineage: Bacteria; Fusobacteriati; Fusobacteriota; Fusobacteriia; Fusobacteriales; Fusobacteriaceae. The record is from RNAcentral.
UUAGCAAGAGGAAAGUCCGGGCUCCAUAGAGCAAAAGGGUAGCUAACGGCUACUAAAGGAAACUUUAAGGAAAGUGCCACAGAAAAUGGACCGCUACUUCGUGUAGUAAGGGUGAAACGGUGGUGUAAGAGACCACCAGUUCUUUAGGAGACUAAAGAAGCUAGGUAAACCCCCUUUGGAGCAAGACUAAAUAGGAGAGAAACAGGGGCUGCUCGUCCUCUCUCAGGGUAAGUUGCUUGAAGCUAUAAGCAAUUAUAGCUCUAGAUAAAUGAUUAAUUAAUACAAAACCCGGCUUAUUUAAU